This 448-nucleotide ribosomal RNA is filed under the name uncultured Planctomycetota bacterium. Its description in RNAcentral is "bacterial SSU rRNA". It matches the Rfam family "Bacterial small subunit ribosomal RNA", at positions 217 to 656 of the family's 1533-position model. Lineage: Bacteria; Pseudomonadati; Planctomycetota. The record is from RNAcentral.
GCUUAGAGAGGGGUCAAUGUCCUAUCAGCUAGUUGGUAAGGUAAUGGCUUACCAAGGUUAAGACGGGUAGCCGGCCUGAGAGGGUGGUCGGCAACACUGGGACUGAGACACUGCCCAGACUCCUACGGGAGGCUGCAGUCGAGAAUCUUUCGCAAUGCCCGAAAGGGUGACGAAGCGACGCCGCGUGUGGGAAGAAGGCCUUCGGGUUGUAAACCACUGUCGGGAGUUAAGAAAUGUAAGGGUGUUAAUAGCAUCCUUACUUGACUAAGGCUCCGGAGGAAGCCACGGCUAACUCUGUGCCAGCAGCCGCGGUAAUACAGAGGCGGCAAGCGUUGUUCGGAAUUAUUGGGCGUAAAGAGCACGUAGGCGGCUUUGUAAGUCAGUUGUGAAAGCCUUCCGCUUAACGGAAGAACAGCAUCUGAUACUGCAAGGCUAGAGUGCGGAAGGG